This is a long non-coding RNA of Passer domesticus (house sparrow), 300 nucleotides long. RefSeq lists it as uncharacterized. The record is from RefSeq and is a predicted model, not a curated record. The transcript has 3 exons. Lineage: Eukaryota; Metazoa; Chordata; Aves; Passeriformes; Passeridae.
CACACAGAGCACCAGAGACCCUGUACCUCUCUUCAUGGUGUGUGACCAGUGUGAAGAGAGGCUCGCUCAGAGGAGAUGGGGAAGUGUGCUGCUGUCUCCUCAUGAUACAGACAAACCAGUUCUGUGGGCCUGGGCUCUAAACACCUGCAAGAGAUUUUGGAUACAAAGGAAAUUUUAUGACACAGCACUCAUAGUGAGAUGGGAAAUACCCCAUCCCAUAAUUGUACCUUUCCCAUGGCCAUUCUGGAUGGCUGCAGCUGUGAGUUUCUUCCUCCUUCAGACUGAAGAAGGACAAUAAAG